CUCCGCGGUGGCCUGGAGGCCGGGCACCCCGCCCAGCCUUCACCUUGCCGGAACUGGCUCACGGACAAGGGGUUGGGGGUUUGGAGCGGAUCUUUUUUUUUUUUUCACAUUUUUCCAGCAGACCACAUCCCCGCCCCCCGCUCGCGGUCCUCCGCCCCCUGCACAUAUACCCUACACACACACACACACGCACGCACACAUACACACACACACACACCCGGCGCGCACAGACACGCUCCCUCCCUCCGGCGCGCUCUACCGCUCGCCCGCCAGCGGCACACGCAGCCGGCCCCGGCUCCCCGCGCCCCGCCGCCGCCGAGCGUAGCCGGGCUGGGCUGGGAGCUGCUCAUGGAGAAAGUGCCGGGCGAGAUGGAGAUUGAGCGCAGGGAGCGGAGCGAGGAGCUGUCCGAGGCGGAGAGGAAGGCGGUGCAGGCGACGUGGGCCCGGCUCUAUGCCAACUGCGAGGACGUGGGGGUGGCCAUCCUGGUGCGGUUCUUUGUGAACUUCCCGUCGGCCAAGCAGUACUUCAGCCAGUUCAAGCACAUGGAGGAGCCCCUGGAAAUGGAGCGGAGCCCGCAGCUGCGGAAGCACGCCUGCCGGGUCAUGGGGGCCCUCAACACCGUGGUGGAGAAUCUGCACGACCCCGAGAAGGUGUCCUCUGUGCUUGCCCUCGUGGGCAAAGCCCACGCCCUCAAGCACAAGGUGGAGCCUGUGUACUUCAAGAUCCUCUCUGGGGUCAUCCUGGAGGUGAUCGCCGAGGAAUUUGCCAAUGACUUCCCACCCGAGACGCAGAGAGCCUGGGCCAAGCUUCGCGGCCUCAUCUACAGCCACGUGACCGCUGCCUACAAGGAAGUGGGCUGGGUACAGCAGGUCCCCAACGCCACCACCCCACCGGCCGCGCUGCCCUCUUCGGGGCCAUAGGACCCCCUCUCUCCUCCCCCCUCCCUGGCAGCACCUUGAGCUGAAGGCCGAGUUCUGAAGACGCUCCUUGACCCUGCAUCUCUGGGUGCCAAGGAAGCUGGAGGAAUCCCUGACUCGUCUUCCCGGAAAGAGGCUGCCUCGGCCUCGGUCACAGCCCCCCUGGAGCCGCCGGAAGGUGGCAUCAGCUGCCUGGGUGCUGACCCCAGCUCAGCGGUGCAGCGGGUGGCCUGUGGGGUGGGGGACCUUUCCUCCUUGAAGAGCGGGGCACGCCCUUCUUAGCUUUUCUACUCACUGUUAGAGACCUAGCUGAGCGGCCGGAGGGAAUCGGGGGCAGGUCUGUGAGUCACUGGAGGAACAAACCAGCCCCGUUUCUAUCUGCCUGGCCACACACAGGUCUCCACAUCACUUAUCUAGAAUACCACGCACACACGUCUACCGUAUACACAGAUAUAUUCUAUAUACAAUCUAUAUAUAAAUAUAUAUAUAUAUAUAUAUAUAUACACAUACAUAUCUAUAAUGUGUAUCAGUAAGGCCCAGAGGCAUGUGUGAAGCCUCGGGUCUGCCCACCGAGGGGUCCUGGCAGCUUCUGGGCAGAGAACAGAGUGUUCCGGCAGAGAUGAUGGGGUCCCACAUCAGCACGGAGAGGACCCGGGCCUGCGUGGGCAGGGUUGAGGUGACCCAGCUUGCCGGCAAAGCCCAGCCCAUUCUCUCUGACCAGCUUCCCACAUUCCUGCUUUCCACUUCAGGCAGCAAGGAUUUGGCGUUCCCUACCUCUGCCCCCCACAAAAGGAGGUGGGUCCCUGACUUGCCCCUAAAUGGGCAAGGGAAGACAGAGGGGGCCAGAAGUUCUGGACAGGACAACUGCAGCGGUGGAGGGUCCAUGGUCCAGAAACCCCGGAUGCCAGCUGCAUCUGCCUUUGCCACUAAGACAGACGGCCUUGGCGGGAAGGGGAUCCAGGCUGCUGUCAGUGGGGCAGUGGUGACGGCACCAGAUGCCUCCACCUCUUCCUGGGGCUCUGAGGGCUGAGGGCCUCCCCUCCCCUGCCUCUGCUGGCUGCUGGCUUGCAGUCAGCCCUCUCCAUCCAUCUAGGUCAGCGUUGCUGGGGACCCCCCCCCCAAUGUGUGCCCCUUGGUCACGUGUAUUGUCCUCAAGGAUGUUUUGCUGCUGUGGCUACUGUGCCUGUGUCCUCCUGUCCCAUCUUCGUGCAGCCAUCCGUGUAACUGCCUGUCCUCCUUUUGUAGUUUCUGAUGUUUGUAACCAGACCCAGCCGUGUCAUUAAACAGACUCGUAA
Molecule: RNA transcript, 2213 nt
Organism: Physeter macrocephalus (sperm whale)
Lineage: Eukaryota; Metazoa; Chordata; Mammalia; Artiodactyla; Physeteridae
Gene: CYGB
Gene name: cytoglobin
Exons: 5
Source: RefSeq, a predicted model, not a curated record